Molecule: unclassified non-coding RNA, 378 nt
Filed under: uncultured Parachlamydiaceae bacterium
Lineage: Bacteria; Pseudomonadati; Chlamydiota; Chlamydiia; Parachlamydiales; Parachlamydiaceae
Description: contains 16S-23S intergenic spacer region
Source: RNAcentral
UCCUGGUUAACCCAGGCAGUCUCACUAGAGUUCCCAGCAUUACCUGUUGGCAACUAAUGAUAAGGGUUGCGCUCGUUGCGGGACUUAACCCAACACCUCACGGCACGAGCUGACGACAGCCAUGCAGCACCUGUGCAGCGGCCCCGAAGGGAGAGUGUAUUUCUACACCUGUCCACUGCAUGUCAAGUCUGGGUAAGGUUCUUCGCGUUGCAUCGAAUUAAACCACAUGCUCCACUGCUUGUGCGGGUCCCCGUCAAUUCUUUUGAGUUUCAGCCUUGCGACUGUACUCCCCAGGCGGUAUACUUAACGCGUUCGCUUCGACACAACCAGGGUUGAGUCCGGUUACAUCUAGUAUACAUCGUUUACGGCAAGGACUAC